UGGGCAACCUGCCCCUCUCUCUGGGAUAACCCCGGGAAACCGGAGCUAAUACCGGAUACUCCGGCUGGAUCGCAUGGUCCGGCCGGGAAAGGUCCGCCGGAGAGGGAUGGGCCCGCGGCCUAUCAGCUUGUUGGUGGGGUCAUGGCUCACCAAGGCGACGACGGGUAGCUGGUCUGAGAGGACGACCAGCCACACUGAAACUGAGAUACGGCCCAGACUCCUACGGGAGCA
This 231-nucleotide ribosomal RNA is filed under the name uncultured bacterium. RNAcentral describes it as "partial 16S ribosomal RNA". It matches the Rfam family "Bacterial small subunit ribosomal RNA", at positions 118 to 347 of the family's 1533-position model. The record is from RNAcentral.